Molecule: long non-coding RNA, 738 nt
Filed under: Elaeis guineensis (African oil palm)
Lineage: Eukaryota; Viridiplantae; Streptophyta; Magnoliopsida; Arecales; Arecaceae
Description: long non-coding RNA (EGUI_LNC074043)
Source: RNAcentral
UCCACACGAAGCUCCCGUCUGAUCAGCUCCUCACGAAUGCUAGUUCGUGAUUUCACCCUUUUGAUGGCAGAUGUUGAUCGAACUCCUUCGAUCGAUGUGUGCCGACUUCUCGGAUGCUCUGGAUCAUCUGCACAGUUGCUUGAGAGGCUGAUGGAUCUCUCCCUAAAAUUUGAUGGACUCACGACACUCGUGGCACACCAAUCUCACUUCCCGAACACUCGUGGCACACUCGUGGCACAGUUGCUUGAGAGGCUGAUGGAUCUUUCUUUUUCUCUCAGAAGGUUUUGGACCUUCACCUCACACACCAACCUUCCUCAUGCCCCACUUUCUUUCUCUUAAUUUUUUUGCGCACACCCCACCUUUCUGCCAAUUUUAAAACAACGUCGAACGUGUCUUAUCCGCGUGAGAGGAUAAAGACAAGUGGUUGCACAUUUGAAUUCAAAUCAAAUUUGAAUUCAAAUGAAAACCAACUUAUCCCUAUCCUUUUGGGCGUGAGAAGAGAAGGGACGUGACUCUUUGUGCGUGGAAAAUAUUUCAUGAGAAACCUUUUCUCGUGUAAGUAAUGUGGUGCACAAAAUGGAUAAGGAUGAAGGGGCAAGUGAUAAGUUAUCCAUUCAAAUGGUGCACAAAUGAGGGCGUGGGGAAGGGUUUUGCAUGAGAAAAAUUUCACGAGAAGUUUCUUCUCGUGAAUUCAAAUGGGUGCAAGGAAGUUGGGUGUCGCAGGGAAUUUAAAACAAG